RNAcentral lists this ribosomal RNA (253 nucleotides) under uncultured bacterium. RNAcentral's name for it is "partial 16S ribosomal RNA". It matches the Rfam family "Bacterial small subunit ribosomal RNA", at positions 524 to 776 of the family's 1533-position model. The record is from RNAcentral.
UACGGAGGGUGCAAGCGUUGUUCGGAAUCAUUGGGCGUAAAGCGCGUGUAGGCGGCUUCGUAAGUCCGUUGUGAAAGUCCAGGGCUCAACCCUGGAAUGCCGAUGGAUACUGCGGAGCUAGAGUCCGGAAGAGGCGAGUGGAAUUCCUGGUGUAGCGGUGAAAUGCGCAGAUAUCAGGAGGAACACCAAUGGCGAAGGCAGCUCGCUGGGACGGUACUGACGCUGAGACGCGAAAGCGUGGGGAGCAAACAGG